GGGACUGUGGCUCAGUUAAGAGCUUCUGCUUUGCAAGCAAAAGGCCCCGAGUUCAAUUCCCAGCUUCUCCA
Molecule: transfer RNA, 71 nt
Filed under: Sphaerodactylus townsendi
Lineage: Eukaryota; Metazoa; Chordata; Lepidosauria; Squamata; Sphaerodactylidae
Description: tRNA-Ala
Rfam family: tRNA
About the family: Transfer RNA (tRNA) molecules are approximately 80 nucleotides in length.
Source: RNAcentral